This 253-nucleotide ribosomal RNA is filed under the name uncultured bacterium. RNAcentral's name for it is "partial 16S ribosomal RNA". It matches the Rfam family "Bacterial small subunit ribosomal RNA", at positions 524 to 776 of the family's 1533-position model. The record is from RNAcentral.
UACGUAGGGGGCAAGCGUUGUCCGGAAUCAUUGGGCGUAAAGAGCGUGUAGGCGGCUCGGUAAGUCCGCUGUGAAAGUCCAGGGCUCAACCCUGGAAUGCCGGUGGAAACUGUCGAGCUAGAGUCUGGAAGAGGCGAGUGGAAUUCCUGGUGUAGCGGUGAAAUGCGCAGAUAUCAGGAAGAACACCCGUGGCGAAGGCGGCUCUCUGGAACGCAACUGACGCUGAGACGCGAAAGCGUGGGGAGCAAACAGG